This 85-nucleotide ribosomal RNA is filed under the name Petromyzon marinus (sea lamprey). The record is from RNAcentral. Lineage: Eukaryota; Metazoa; Chordata; Hyperoartia; Petromyzontiformes; Petromyzontidae.
UCACUCGCCCAGAACAUGCCCCCCGAUCUCAUCAGAUCGCGGAAGCUAAGCAGAGUUGAGCCUGGAUAGAGCUUGGAUGGGAGAC